UACGUAGGGUGCAAGCGUUGUCCGGAAUUAUUGGGCGUAAAGAGCUCGUAGGCGGUUUGUCGCGUCUGCUGUGAAAACUCGGGGCUUAACUCCGGGCCUGCAGUGGGUACGGGCAGACUAGAGUCAGGUAGGGGAGAACGGAAUUCCUGGUGUAGCGGUGAAAUGCGCAGAUAUCAGGAGGAACACCGGUGGCGAAGGCGGUUCUCUGGGCCUGUACUGACGCUGAGGAACGAAAGCGUGGGGAGCGAACAGG
RNAcentral lists this ribosomal RNA (253 nucleotides) under uncultured bacterium. Its description in RNAcentral is "partial 16S ribosomal RNA". It matches the Rfam family "Bacterial small subunit ribosomal RNA", at positions 524 to 776 of the family's 1533-position model. The record is from RNAcentral.